CCUACGGGGGGCAGCAGUGGGGAAUAUUGGACAAUGGGCGAAAGCCUGAUCCAGCCAUGCCGCGUGUGUGAAGAAGGCCUUCGGGUUGUAAAGCACUUUCAGUGGGGAAGAAAGCCUUGGGGCUAAUACCCUCGAGGAAGGACAUCACCCACAGAAGAAGCACCGGCUAACUCCGUGCCAGCAGCCGCGGUAAUACGGAGGGUGCGAGCGUUAAUCGGAAUUACUGGGCGUAAAGCGCGCGUAGGCGGUCUGAUAAGCCGGUUGUGAAAGCCCCGGGCUCAACCUGGGAACGGCAUCCGGAACUGUCAGGCUAGAGUGCAGGAGAGGAAGGUAGAAUUCCCGGUGUAGCGGUGAAAUGCGUAGGGAUCGGGAGGAAUACCAGUGGCGAAGGCGGUCUUCUGGACUGACACUGACGCUGAGGUGCGAAAGCGUGGGUAGCAAACAGGAUUAGAUACCCCGGUAGUC
RNAcentral lists this ribosomal RNA (465 nucleotides) under Vreelandella stevensii. RNAcentral describes it as "partial 16S ribosomal RNA". It matches the Rfam family "Bacterial small subunit ribosomal RNA", at positions 338 to 795 of the family's 1533-position model. The record is from RNAcentral. Lineage: Bacteria; Pseudomonadati; Pseudomonadota; Gammaproteobacteria; Oceanospirillales; Halomonadaceae.